This 245-nucleotide ribosomal RNA is filed under the name uncultured bacterium. RNAcentral describes it as "partial 16S ribosomal RNA". It matches the Rfam family "Bacterial small subunit ribosomal RNA", at positions 524 to 768 of the family's 1533-position model. The record is from RNAcentral.
UACGAGGGGGGCAAGUGUUGUUCGGAUUUACUGGGUGUAAAGGGAGUGUAGGCGGCUCGGUAGGUCAGAGGUGAAAUGUCCACGCUUAACGUGGUCACUGCCUUUGAAACCACCGGGCUUGAAUGUUGGAGAGGGUAACGGAAUUUCAGGUGUAGCGGUGGAAUGCGUAGAUAUCUGAAAGAACACCAGUUGCGAAGGCGGUUACCUGGCCAAACAUUGACGCUGAGGCUCGAAAGCCGGGGGAG